UGGGGAAUUUUGGACAAUGGGCGAAAGCCUGAUCCAGCAAUGCCGCGUGUGUGAAGAAGGCCUUCGGGUUGUAAAGCACUUUUGUCCGGAAAGAAAUCCUUGGCUCUAAUACAGUCGGGGGAUGACGGUACCGGAAGAAUAAGCACCGGCUAACUACGUGCCAGCAGCCGCGGCAAUACGUAGGGUGCAAGCGUUAAUCGGAAUUACUGGGCGUAAAGCGUGCGCAGGCGGUUUGCUAAGACCGAUGUGAAAUCCCCGGGCUCAACCUGGGAACUGCAUUGGUGACUGGCAGGCUAGAGUAUGGCAGAGGGGGGUUAGAAUUCCACGUGUAGCAGUGAAAUGCGUAGAGAUGUGGAGGAAUACCGAUGGCGAAGGCAGCCCCCUGGGCCAAUACUGACGCUCAUGCACGAAAGCGUGGGGAGCAAACAGGAUUAGAUACCCUGGUAGUCCACGCCCUAAANGAUG
RNAcentral lists this ribosomal RNA (465 nucleotides) under uncultured bacterium. RNAcentral's name for it is "partial 16S ribosomal RNA". It matches the Rfam family "Bacterial small subunit ribosomal RNA", at positions 355 to 811 of the family's 1533-position model. The record is from RNAcentral.